GACGAACGCUGGCGGCGUGCUUAACACAUGCAAGUCGAACGGAAAGGCCCUGCUUUUGUGGGGUGCUCGAGUGGCGAACGGGUGAGUAACACGUGAGUAACCUGCCCUUGCCUUUGGGAUAACUUCUGGAAACUGGGGCUACUACCGGAUAGGAGCUCCUGCUGCAUGGUGGGGGUUGGAAAGUUUCGGCGGUUGGGGAUGGACUCGCGGCUUAUCAGCUUGUUGGUGGGGUAGUGGCUUACCAAGGCUUUGACGGGUAGCCGGCCUGAGAGGGUGACCGGCCACAUUGGGACGGAGAUACGGCCCAGACUCCUACGGGAGGCAGGAGUGGGGAAUAGUGCACAAUGGGCGGAAGCCUGAUGCAGCAACGCCGCGUGCGGGAUUGCGGCCUUCGGGUUGUAAACCGCUUGCGCCUGGGAUGAAGCGUGAGUGACGGUAAUGGGUAAAGAAGCACCGGCUAACUACGUG
RNAcentral lists this ribosomal RNA (468 nucleotides) under uncultured bacterium. RNAcentral describes it as "partial 16S ribosomal RNA". It matches the Rfam family "Bacterial small subunit ribosomal RNA", at positions 28 to 507 of the family's 1533-position model. The record is from RNAcentral.